UCGCAUAAGGAGUUGAGGGCAAUAUUAACUACCAGAAAAUCUACCAGAAAUAGUAAACCAUCCGGCUACCUUUGGGAUACUCGUUUCAACAUACUACCAUUUGGGACACACUAAUUCUAAUCUUGGAUACUAUUUAGGAUGGAUAUUAGGUGAAUUGGGAUGCAGCACAUUCUGAAGACUCACUUGCACAUUUAUUUACAUAUUUCAUCACUAUAUAACGUUUCUUUCCUUUUAUAUGCAUAACGUAUUGAUUAAAAACAUUAAUGACUGAUACUCAGAAGUCAGAAGAUCUGCUCUCUGUGUGACUGCUUUACAUAAGCUCCUGGGUGUCCCAUCGUUCUGUACAGUUCAACAAUUAUAAAGCUGACUAUCUUAUAAUUGAAAAUGAAGGACAAAAAAAAAGAUAUAUACUGACUGUAACUCAUAAUGCCCGGCUUCUGAAGGACAAAAACUGCGUCAAGAACCUGUAAUCAUUUUUGAUAGUGACCUCAAAAAACCCAGUCAUUAAUGUCUCUAAAACAGUACAUUAUCACUACCGAGACAGCUAGAAAUGAUACCGUUCAAUGUAAAAUAAAUGUUAUUAAUAGUAACACAUAGAGUGAGCUUGGUUUUAAAUAGUCAAAAAGAGUCAAAAAAAGAGUGGUCUAUUUCAAAUAUGAUAGAAAUAUCCCAUAAUAAUUUCAAUACUCAUGCUAUGUCUUAAUCAGGUGUAGACAAUACUUAAGUACUUGUAGUUUGUUACUAUACUUAAAUAUUUAUUCUGUAAAACGUGUCAUUUGAGCUGUGUAUUGAAGCAGCUAUAAGUACCGCAUAUGUACUUUCACUAAGUUCUAGGAUUAGGAUUUACUCCUAUGCUUUGGAUCAUUGUCUUGCUUAUACACCGGACAUUCUCCUUUAGGAUUUUCUGGUACAGAGCAGAAUUAAUGUAAUUAAUCCACACCAUCACACUCCACCACCAUGCUUGACUGCGGGUAUGAUGUUCUUUUUGUGGAAUUCUGUGUUUGGUUUAUGCUAAAUUUAACAGGACCGCUGUCUUCCAAACAAUUCCACUUUCGACUCAUCAAUCGAAAGAACAUUUUCCCAAAAGGUUUGAGGAUCAUCACGGUUCUCACUGUGCUCUUGGAGGAAUUUUGGAAGGUCGGCCACUUCUGGGAAGGUUCACUACUGUGCCGAGUUUUUCCAUUUAGAGAUAAUGGCUCUCACUGUGGUUCUUUGGAGUCCCAGAGCUUUUGAAAUAGCUUUGUAACCCUUCACAGACUGAUGUCUUUCAAUAACCUUCUUCCACAUCAUUUCUGGAAAACAAUUUAGUAUGAGAUCUACACAAAAACGGAAGAAAUCAGGAUGGGGCAAAAACUUUUUCAGCACUAUAUAAGGACUGUAAGUGAACAUUAGUGUGUGUUGUAAUGGCGCUAACAUUCUGCAUCUCACAGCGCAGGUGGUUACGCUGCUCUGAUGCUUGUCUGUGAUUCAUAUGUUAAACACACCUUCAUGCAACACACACACACACACACACACACACAGUACAUGCGCCUCAAACACUCAAAUGAUCAGAGGGUUGUUUUUCAGAUGUUUUUAAAGCUUGUUGCUUUAAAAACAUCUGAUUAGCAUUUCUCCUCAGGCUAAUAACAAGUAUUUAUCUCACGUCCUUCAAGGAUGUCCUUGCGUCCUUUUAAAAUGUACAACAGUGUGUAGGUUGAUGAAGCGUCCUCCUUCACUUAAAACACUUCUGAGGCGAGUGUCUGAUAAGAGCUCCUCUUUAGUAUGUCAAUAGGCAAAAAAACAGAAGGGGCAUCAGUCGUGGCCCUGAGGCGAGACCAAGCGUAUUUUACUUUGUCUCUCUGAGUGGAAAUGUGGGGAAAAGAUGAAUAGAGGGGAAUGUGUGGAUGUGAAAGGCACACUUGAGUCUAAUUGAACGCAGGAUGCUUGAAGAGUAUGCUAAUAUCGGAGACAACGCUAAUCCUACAGUCUAUGCUAAUGCAUGAGCGUACGCUAAUACUGGAGUGUAUGCUAAUGCAGUUUAUUAAGCGAAAAAAGGUGGUGAAAAUAAGGCUAAUAAUCCGACAUUAGCAUGUCAGAUUAUCUCUGAAACGUUGUUUUGCAUCAAAUAUUGUGAAAUGAAUGAUUUGAGAUGCUUUCGAGUUAUUUAUAUUAUCGGUAAAAUCUCCGAUGUGUCUGUUUUUCAUUUCAGAGCUAAUCGAUAAACAUUUUUUGAGGGGAAAAGAGUCUUCAAGCAGUAGUAAAAAAAAAACAACAGAUGGACUUUAGAACACCAUUUCAGUCAGUAUGACGGAAACGUAACAGAAAUUUAAACACAAAUGAUAUACAAACAGUGUGAAGAAGACCCAUUUUUUCUGUACUGUACAGUAAGCAGUCUAGUAAAGCAAACUCUUAUUAGUGUAGCACAAACAUUGACACUUCAUACAUUUAGAUUUGAAGUUUAGCGUGUUUGUUAUGGAUGAGUGUACCAAUGUUUCUUGAAUAAAUCUACAUAAAUGGGUAAAAUGAGGAGAUGAAAAUGCUUGAUACACAGUUCUUCCUUUUCAGCAGGAACAGUCGAGGCAAGAUUUAGCAAACUGAUCUUUAAGGAUUUCGUUUGGAUCCUUUGGAUCCUGAAAUCCUUAAAAGGAUUUCCUCCAAACUCAGAGAGGAAAAGUAUUUAUUUCAGUAAAAAAAAUUUUACCAUAUAUGUAUACUAUUUUUGCUUCGUAAGGAAUAAAACACUUAGGGGUGCAAUUGAUAUGAAUUGGUCUGCUACAAUGGCUUAGGACUGCAAUUGCUAUGAUAGCUUUAAGACUGCAAUUGCGACAAACAGUUCUGUACUCAAGUCUCCAUCAGUGAACAGUGGAUAACUUCAAAAACAAAAUAAACUACAUGUUAAAACUAUAAUGAAUUUCCGGGUUAUACAAUUGCACUAUUUGACUAUAUAGUAGACAAGUAUAGAGGGGGAAUUAUUUAUAAUCACACUAUGCGGUGUCACCCAGAUGAGGAUGGGUUCCCUUUUGAGUCUGGUUCCUUCCUCAUACCAUCUCAGGGAAUGAUUCCUUCCUACCUCUGGCUUGUUCAUUAGGGAUAAAUUCAUAAAUUUGAAAUGUAUAUCCUGAAUUUAUAUAUUUUUCUAAAGCUGCUUUGUGACAAAUUCCAUUGUGAAAAGCGCAAUACAAAUAAAACAGAACUGGAAAUGAAUUCAACUUUUUGUCAAUUUAUAGUUACAUUUAAAAGUUGUGGAACGUCAGGGAAACAAGUUAUCGCUUACAUUAUAUCAGCUAUAAACAUUCCCUUACCAGUCUGACUAUUUUUUUCUAUCUUGAAGUUAAUAAGAUAAAAAGAAAAAUUUAGUUUGUCAUGUUACAGAGAAACUACACAGCAACAACUCCUCUCGUCACUGAAAACUUUGCUAAAUAUACACUACUACAUGCGCUUCUUUAAUCCGAUUGCAUUAAUAUAAACCUGUGAUUUGCCUUCUGUGAUUUGACUGGAAAAUUCUGGUAUCAACAGAAAUAAUGUAGGCAUAAUAGGAAUUUCUUACUGUUGAAUACUGGUUUGUUUUCUGCCUGAAAGGUCACAUGAUAUCCUGAGACACACAACCUCUCCUUUUACUUAUGUUGAGCUUGUGCAGGCAGUGAGAUAUUCAGUGUGAGUUCAUAUGUUAGAAAUAACCCCAUACAUAGCAGGCAUUACUUUUUGCACAAUUAUCUUCUAUGCAGAUUAAAAAUGUACAUGGAAUUUAAAUAAGUGUAUUAAAAAUCGAAGGCCACUAGAUGGCAGAAAAGAGGUUUGGAUAUUCAGCAACGAAAAUGUUUCUGAGGAGAAAUGUUUCUGUAUCUCUCUGGGAGAGAUAAUGGUUAACUGAAAUGGCCUGUGAUAUAAAUGUCGAGCUGUUUCUUCUGAUAUAUCGCUCUGUCACUCAGGACACAAAGAAAACCUAUUUGGAAAAAUGGACAGGAAGUGUUGAGGAGAGGCAGAGAGAAGAUCUGUCCAUUCUUCAUGCUGUGAUGACAUCUUAAUGGCAGAAGAACCAACAACUAGAAUUAUACAUCUCACACACACACACACACACACACACACACACACACACACACACACACACACACACACACACACACACACACGUCUGUCCUUUCCCACAGCUGCCAUUGAAUCCUUGCUCUGAAAGAGGAGCGUUCAUGAGUCUUGUGAGAAAAAAGUGCCUGUAGUUCCCUAUAAUCUAAAAAUACACUGUAUUCCCAAAUUCCCAAAUUCCCAAAUGUAGACCAAGUCUUGGGAAGCUGCUUGGUUUUGAACACUGGAGAAUUUGAAGGAUGACAGAUGUGUAAGCUUUUCCUGAAAAAGAGCAAACUAGUGCUAGAAUUCCCACUCAAAGAGCAGGGGCAGUUAUGCUCUCUUGGUCAGUAUGUCUUUGGCCACAUCAGGACUUAAUCUCAUUCAACCUUUUUAGACCAGGGGUUUCCAAUUCCACUGGAAAGAAAUAUCCGGUGAAAUAGUGUAUACUGGUGUAAUUUGGGUCUCCAAACAAUGCUUCACUUCGAACCCCAGGUCUUUAGAGCAUUACACCAUUCAGGAACAUGACUUUCCAUAUUUAGAGUGGUAAAAAUAUGUUUGGCUUGGGGCAGCAAAGUAAACCAUUCUGGGAAAAAUGUGUGAAAUGUGACAUUGAAAAGAAACAGGUGCCGGAGCAAGUCACUGAAAAGCUGGAAAGAAUCAGUUAGGGUUCCUCUCCAGUAGAAGUUAGCUUCUCAUCAAAAGAGGAACAGCUGAGAUAAGUUUUCCAAAGACUUUCCAACGGGUCAUCCUAGAUUUGAAAAUAAAGCCCCUUCUGAACAGUUUGAUUUUAAUAACUGACCUUUAAUAUCUAGAUAAAUCUACCACAAGUUUCACAAUUACCUCAUGUGGUUAGUGGUUAGUGGUUAGCAGGUUUGCUUCACACCUCCAGGCUUGGGAGUUUGAAUCCCACCGCCGCCCUGUGUGUGCAGAACUUGCAUAUUCUCCCCAUGCUUCAAGGGUUUCCUCUGGGUGUUUUGGGUUCCUCCCCCAGUCCAAAGACAUGCGUUGUAGGCUGAUUGGCAUUUCCAAAUUUUCCGUAGUGUGUGAAUGUGUGUGAUUGUGCCCUGCGAUGGGUUGACACCUAGUCCAGGGUGUCCCCCGCCUUGUGCCCCAAGUUCCCUGGGAUAAGCUCUAGGCUUCCCCACAACGCUGCAUAGGAUAAGCAGUACAGAAAAUGAAUGGAUGGAACACUAUGGUAAAUGGCGCACUUAUAUAGCGCUUUACAAUGUGUCUCAUUCACCCAUUCAUACACCAGUGGUAGCAGAGCUUCCACGCAAGGCACUAGCUCGCCAUCAGGAGCAACUUGCGUUUCAGUGUCUUGCCCAAGGACACUUCGGCAUGUGGAGGCACUUGAGCCAGGAAUCGAACUGUCAACCGUACGAUUAGUGGACAACCCGCUGUACCACCUGAGCCACAGCCGCCCCACUAGCAAAUUGCUUGUAGUGGAAGCCUGAAGCCUAUCCCAGGGAACUUGGGGCACAAGGUGGGGGACACCCUGGACAAAGUCCCAACCCAUUGCACACUAUGGGCAAUUCAGUGAUGCCAAUCAGCCUACACUGCAUGUCUUUGUACUGGGGGAGGAUGUACCCGGAGUACCCGGAGGAAACCCCCGAAGCACGGGCAGAACAUGCGGACUUCAUGCACACAGGAUGGAGGCAGGAUUUGAACCCUCAACUCUGGAGAUGCGAGAUGGGUGUGUCCCCCAUAAAAAAUGGGGAGAAGUAAGAGGAUAAUGCUAAUCACAGACUUCCUGGAGUGCACUCCUUGGAUGAUUAGGACUGGAAGACACAGGAAGCUCGAAUGUAAACCGUCUUUCGUAGGCAGUUCCUGAGAUGUUCAGAUACAUUGUUUUGUGUGUGUGUGUGUGUGUGUGUGUGUGUGUGUGUGUGUGUGUGUGUGUGAGUGUGUGCGUGUGUGACACAAAGGGAAGAGAUAAACAUUAAUCCUGAACACUUUAUAUGACAUUACUCUUAACUCUCCUGUUCCCUACACGCAUCAUACUAUCUCAUUAGAUUUACAGUAACAGGGCUUUACCUUUUUCAAGAAUACACAACAAAGUUCAAAUAUACACCUUAAACCAAAUGUCCUCACUCAUCUAGGACAUUGCUGCGCGACAUUCUAUAAUUAUUCAAGCAAGCUAUGAGGAUUAUGUAGCUAACAAGUAAUGGAGGUCUGUCGCAUGCUCACCCAAAAUAUUUCCGACUAUAUCUGGUUCUUCAGUGAAAACUUCAGCGAAUGUGGUUUAGCACAGGGGUUCUCACAUUUAAAAAAAAAAAAAAAUUUUUGUGUCCAGGGACCCUUUUAACUGUAAGUAUGGAUUUAUUUCAUGAACAUUAUCAAAAAUGUUCAAAUAAUAUAGAGUGACA
Long non-coding RNA from Ictalurus punctatus (channel catfish), 6407 nucleotides. The record is from Ensembl. NCBI's taxonomy places the organism in Eukaryota, Metazoa, Chordata, Actinopteri, Siluriformes, Ictaluridae.